Molecule: ribosomal RNA, 497 nt
Filed under: uncultured bacterium
Lineage: Bacteria
Description: partial 16S ribosomal RNA
Rfam family: Bacterial small subunit ribosomal RNA
Source: RNAcentral
GAUGAACGCUGGCGGCGUGCCUAAUACAUGCAAGUCGAGCGAACAGACGAGGAGCUUGCUCCUCUGACGUUAGCGGCGGACGGGUGAGUAACACGUGGAUAACCUACCUAUAAGACUGGGAUAACUUCGGGAAACCGGAGCUAAUACCGGAUAAUAUAUUGAACCGCAUGGUUCAAUAGUGAAAGACGGUUUUGCUGUCACUUAUAGAUGGAUCCGCGCCGCAUUAGCUAGUUGGUAAGGUAACGGCUUACCAAGGCAACGAUGCGUAGCCGACCUGAGAGGGUGAUCGGCCACACUGGAACUGAGACACGGUCCAGACUCCUGCGGGAGGCAGCAGUAGGGAAUCUUCCGCAAUAGGCGAAAGCCUGACGGAGCAACGCCGCGUGAGUGAUGAAGGUCUUCGGAUCGUAAAACUCUGUUAUUAGGGAAGAACAAAUGUGUAAGUAACUAUGCACGUCUUGACGGUACCUAAUCAGAAAGCCACGGCUAACUACGUG